CAUCAGUGAUGAGCUUCCACUUCAUGGUCCGUGUUUUUGAAAUUCUGUGAUAUUUAAAGAAGUUCUGAGUUU
Molecule: small nucleolar RNA, 72 nt
Organism: Cyclopterus lumpus (lumpfish)
Lineage: Eukaryota; Metazoa; Chordata; Actinopteri; Perciformes; Cyclopteridae
Gene: SNORD18
Rfam family: Small nucleolar RNA SNORD18
About the family: U18 is a member of the C/D class of snoRNA which contain the C (UGAUGA) and D (CUGA) box motifs. It is encoded in introns of ribosomal protein L1 in Xenopus and human, and in introns of elongation factor 1 beta in yeast. Related snoRNAs in Arabidopsis and rice have been named R63 and Z106 respectively.
Source: Ensembl